RNAcentral lists this ribosomal RNA (268 nucleotides) under Alexandrium margalefii. RNAcentral's name for it is "partial Bacterial small subunit ribosomal RNA". It matches the Rfam family "Bacterial small subunit ribosomal RNA", at positions 48 to 344 of the family's 1533-position model. Lineage: Eukaryota; Dinophyceae; Gonyaulacales; Pyrocystaceae. The record is from RNAcentral.
CUAACACAUGCAAGUCGAACGCACUCUUCGGAGUGAGUGGCAGACGGGUGAGUAACGCGUGGGAAUCUACCCAUCUCUACGGAAUAACUCAGGGAAACUUGUGCUAAUACCGUAUACGCCCUUCGGGGGAAAGAUUUAUCGGAGAUGGAUGAGCCCGCGUUGGAUUAGCUAGUUGGUGGGGUAAAGGCCUACCAAGGCGACGAUCCAUAGCUGGUCUGAGAGGAUGAUCAGCCACACUGGGACUGAGACACGGCCCAGACUCCUACGG